GACAAAUGGAACCACCAGUAUUUGGCCAACACACAAAAGGAAAAUGAGAUGAGAAAAAAUGAAAAGGAAAAAAAACGAAUAUUCGGCACCCAAAAACGAAAAGGUAAAAACGUAAAACUGACCAAACCCAAACUGACAGAAGAAAAAUAACUUCAAAAACAGAUUCUCUCAGUGCCUACUAACCAAAUUCGGCACAAGCACACCCCCAGCCGAGACCUCUAGGAAGAGUUUUCCCCAAAUGGCACAACUCUCCUCACAAAAUAACUCAUUGAUAUUCUCCUAAAAUCUCUCCGCCUAUCCCUCCUUGAUUCACUCCACCCAAUCAAAUCCCACUAUUCUCUCCAUGAUUCACUCCUCCAUUCAAAUUCCACAACAUUUCAGUCAAACUCCACCACCUCACAGCACAGGUGAUAAAAAUAAAC
Molecule: long non-coding RNA, 422 nt
Filed under: Gossypium raimondii (Peruvian cotton)
Lineage: Eukaryota; Viridiplantae; Streptophyta; Magnoliopsida; Malvales; Malvaceae
Description: long non-coding RNA (GRAI_LNC010967)
Source: RNAcentral